UUCCCGAUGAUCUUGAGCUUACUCUUGGGACCUCUACUACCAGAUAAAGAGGUCCAAGUGUUCAUAAAUAUGGAUGUUUAUGCAAUCUUCAAUUACCUACCUCGUGUAGACCUUUCUGAAUAUAAUAGUAUUCUGGUCCAUUGAGAUACGGAGUAGGAGCCUUUUCCCCCCCCACAUCAGAAACAAUAGAUUGGAAUAUAAAUCGCCAGUGCUUUUUAUUUCUUUUUGCAGAUUUCCUUGGUAUAUUUUUACUUUGGAUUCUUUUUAAAUGUUGCACUGUUUGUUACACCUGCUUACGGGUGUGGAUAUUUUCGUUUUUGGGUAUCGGAAUUUAUCAAAAAGUGACUUUUCUUUCUGGAC
This is a long non-coding RNA of Olea europaea var. sylvestris, 360 nucleotides long. RefSeq lists it as uncharacterized. NCBI's taxonomy places the organism in Eukaryota, Viridiplantae, Streptophyta, Magnoliopsida, Lamiales, Oleaceae. The transcript is spliced from 2 exons. The record is from RefSeq and is a predicted model, not a curated record.